CAGCAAGCUGCACGGUGCUGUCCCUGACCUGUGCUCGGUGCAGGCAAGAGGCUGUGCCACCCUAUACAACCUACUUGGACAAGGCCUUGUUGUGUGUCCCAGGUCAGAAAAAAAAAGUCCCAACUCACUUUUUCCUGUAUGAGGAGAAGGGGUACCAUAGGACAUGGAACAGUUCUUGGUAGAUCCCUGCCAUCCUGCACAUCCCUUGCUAGCUGUACUGAAAGUGAAGGUGGAACCAAGAGAAACCAGUGGAAGGAUUUCAACUGGAACAGAAAUCAGAAGUCUCUUCUGCUAAAAGAUGUUCAAAAGGAGCAGAAUUGUUGGCAUCCUGACAAUUCCCACAUCACAUAGACAGGAAAAGCACUAUCAGUGCAGGCCUUCUUCUGGAUCAGCUUCAGGCUCUUUCCCACCCUUCCACCUGCCCCACUAACAGGAACAGCAAUUGAUGCAGCUAUACCUCUGCUGAUGCUUCACAAACAGUAAGGCUGAAAGCCCAGCGCUGUUACACAGCACCAGCAAAAGCCACAGCAGCAGCACAUGUUUAAUAAAGGUAUUCCUAGCAGCCUGCACGCUCGAUGUGCUGUGAUUACAACCAGGGCAGCAGCGCGGUGCAGUGCCGGCUGCCCCCUGACAGCUCUGCUCCCCUGGAAGCGCGGGGCUGACAGCUCCGCGAGGAGAGCAGCAGAGCUGGAGGCAGCUUUUCUGGCAGCUGGCCUGCAUUUGCAGAGCUCUCACCCAGACCGUGCUGGUGCAUAUGAGCUUCCUGAACAACAUGUGAAAGCCCAGGGCAAGAGGCAAACAAAUUCCUCUUCUCUUUGGGGGAAAACAGAAUGCUGUGUUGUAAUUAAAUUUGCCAGGCGCUACUGUAGUGUGGUUGUGUAGAUGAGAGGAUGCAGAUACAUAUUCCUGGGCAGCUUAUUUUCAUGUUAAAGCACUGGAAGAUGGUUUGAUGGUUGUUUUUUGCUUUGUUGUGUUUUUGUUUUGUUUUUGGUGGUGUUGGGGGUGUUUGCUUUUUUCACAAACAAUAGCAUUAAUGACUUUGUCUUGCCUAGUCCAGGUAGACUUGUCUAGUCUUACCUGCUCCAGAAGGUAGUAUUUCAGAAGUAUGGUUUGCAAGUUUUUGUUUGUUUGUUUGUUUCUAUGCUAAAAGAAGGGUGCGAUUUUUAACGUUAAUAGAAACACAAAUAUAACUUCUCUCCAGACCUUAAGUAACAGCAAUCUUGUUUUCCUGACUCAGGAAAAAAAAAAUCACGAACAAAACAAAACAAACAAACAAACAAAAACCUGCUAAAACAAAUAGAAGGGCUAUGGACUCUCAUUUAUUUUAAAGGACUUCAAUUCAGACCCCUUAUGACUAGGUCCCACUGAUCUCAAUAGAAGUUAUUUGUCUCUAAGAAGGAGAGCUGCACAAACUCUGAUUUUCACAUGAUUAUUCUCUUUAAAUGUGUUUGCUCAGCUUCCUGGAGAACGGAAGUGGACAGGGUGCAGCGUAUGCCUUUGAGCUCCUGGGCAUUUUAUUUGGUGUUCUGUGGCUGCCGUUAAAACGUGGCCACAAAGCUGCAGGUAGUUCAUUUUGGAUCAUGCCUACAAUCACCUGGGAAAUCUCCUUUUAUUGUUGCAUGCUCAGGUUCCAUCAUGAUCCAAGUCCCUGGGCUGAUCAGUGCAAAUAGCUAGUGAAUACUUGUAUAACCUCUCCCGAUUAUCAUGCAGCUGUACUGUGCAGUAACAUUCCUUCAUUGACUU
Cygnus olor (mute swan) is the source of this 1743-nucleotide long non-coding RNA. RefSeq lists it as uncharacterized. The transcript has 2 exons. Lineage: Eukaryota; Metazoa; Chordata; Aves; Anseriformes; Anatidae. The record is from RefSeq and is a predicted model, not a curated record.